UACGAAGGGUGCAAACGUUGCUCGGAAUUAUUGGGCGUAAAGCGCACGUAGGCGGCUUUGCAAGUCGGAUGUGAAAUCCCUCGGCUUAACCAAGGAAGUGCAUCCGAAACUGCAGAGCUUGAGUACUUAAGAGGAUCGCGGAAUUCCCGGUGUAGAGGUGAAAUUCGUAGAUAUCGGGAGGAACACCAGUGGCGAAGGCGGCGAUCUGGUCCGUUACUGACGCUGAGGCGCGAAAGCCAGGGGAGCAAACGGG
Molecule: ribosomal RNA, 253 nt
Filed under: uncultured bacterium
Lineage: Bacteria
Description: partial 16S ribosomal RNA
Rfam family: Bacterial small subunit ribosomal RNA
Source: RNAcentral